GGAACAAAGCGUUCACGCGAUAAGACAUAUUUGUUCCAAACAUUUGUGGUUUUAUGUACACAUGAAUUUUAAUUCAAGUGGAAAUUGUAAUGCAGAAUGACAACAAAAGAAAAUGUAACGAGAAAUUUAAGUUCCAUGGCGUUUUUUUCAGUAUAUAUAAGUAUAUAGGUAUGUAAGUAUUUGCAUGGGCUGGCCACACUGAUCGCUAAAUAGAAGGAAACGCGCUGUUGAAGAAUUAUAUUUGAUCACAUUUGCUUUUGUAUUCAAAAGUCAAACCCAGGUCCCCUUAGAAACUAACAAAAAUUUAUUAUUGCUAUAGAGAGCAAACAAGUAACAACUAAAAACAAAAAAUAUCACACUCGUCAAAAAAUUGGAAAUUCUAAAUUUAAAAAAUUUUUGUAAAAGUUUUAUUUUAUAUCCAUUCAUAUAGAAUGGAAACACCAAAAUUCUCACGUCUAUUGCGAUAUUGAAUUGCGAGCCACGAGCAGAGCACCACUGUGGACGACCACCACUUUCAUGUCCCCAACUUGUUUCCCGAGCGUAGUACCAUGCCCGGGAUGAAGCCAAGACUUGGCUGUAGCUCCAAUUCAAAACUUUCUUCUUGUUUCUUCAGCAGUUCUAUCAUCAGCUCACGUCUGAUCCGCAAGUUGUUGAUUAUUAUCCUGCUUCCUACUGAAC
RNA transcript from Drosophila obscura, 678 nucleotides. RefSeq lists it as uncharacterized. The record is from RefSeq and is a predicted model, not a curated record. Lineage: Eukaryota; Metazoa; Arthropoda; Insecta; Diptera; Drosophilidae. The transcript has 2 exons.